Molecule: ribosomal RNA, 468 nt
Filed under: uncultured bacterium
Lineage: Bacteria
Description: partial 16S ribosomal RNA
Rfam family: Bacterial small subunit ribosomal RNA
Source: RNAcentral
GACGAACGCUGGCGGCGUGCUUAACACAUGCAAGUCGAACGGAAAGGCCCUGCUUUUGUGGGGUGCUCGAGUGGCGAACGGGUGAGUAACACGUGAGUAACCUGCCCUUGACUUUGGGAUAACUUCAGGAAACUGGGGCUAAUACCGGAUAGGAGCUCCUGCUGCAUGGUGGGGGUUGGAAAGUUUCGGCGGUUGGGGAUGGACUCGCGGCUUAUCAGCUUGUUGGUGGGGUAGUGGCUUACCAAGGCUUUGACGGGUAGCCGGCCUGAGAGGGUGACCGGCCACAUUGGGACUGAGAUACGGCACAGACUCCCACGGGAGGCAGCAGUGGGGAAUAUUGCACAAUGGGCGGAAGCCUGAUGCAGCAAAGCCGCGUGCGGGAUGACGGCCUUCGGGUUGUAAACCGCUUUCGCCUGUGACGAAGCGUGAGUGACGGUAAUGGGUAAAGAAGCACCGGCUAACUACGUG